CCUAACACAUGCAAGUCGAACGGUAACAGGAAGAAGCUUGCUUCUUUGCUGACGAGUGGCGGACGGGUGAGUAAUGUCUGGGAAACUGCCUGAUGGAGGGGGAUAACUACUGGAAACGGUAGCUAAUACCGCAUAACGUCGCAAGACCAAAGAGGGGGACCUUCGGGCCUCUUGCCAUCGGAUGUGCCCAGAUGGGAUUAGCUAGUAGGUGGGGUAACGGCUCACCUAGGCGACGAUCCCUAGCUGGUCUGAGAGGAUGACCAGCCACACUGGAACUGAGACACGGUCCAGACUCCUACGGGAGGCAGCAGUGGGGAAUAUUGCACAAUGGGCGCAAGCCUGAUGCAGCCAUGCCGCGUGUAUGAAGAAGGCCUUCGGGUUGUAAAGUACUCUCAGCGGGGAGGAAGGGAGUAAAGUUAAUACCUUUGCUCAUUGACGUUGCCCGCAGAAGAAGCACCGGCUAACUCCGUGCCAGCAGC
This 479-nucleotide ribosomal RNA is filed under the name uncultured bacterium. RNAcentral describes it as "bacterial SSU rRNA". It matches the Rfam family "Bacterial small subunit ribosomal RNA", at positions 47 to 515 of the family's 1533-position model. The record is from RNAcentral.